ACGCUCGACACCUACGGGAGGAAGCAGUAGGGAAUCUUCCACAAUGGACGCAAGUCUGAUGGAGCAACGCCGCGUGAGUGAAGAAGGUCUUCGGAUCGUAAAACUCUGUUGUUAGAGAAGAACACGAGUGAGAGUAACUGUUCAUUCGAUGACGGUAUCUAACCAGCAAGUCACGGCUAACUACGUGCCAGUAGCCGCGGUAAUCUGAGCGGGCUGGCAAGGC
This 223-nucleotide ribosomal RNA is filed under the name uncultured bacterium. RNAcentral describes it as "partial 16S ribosomal RNA". It matches the Rfam family "Bacterial small subunit ribosomal RNA", at positions 328 to 539 of the family's 1533-position model. The record is from RNAcentral.